This 83-nucleotide transfer RNA is filed under the name Canis lupus familiaris (dog). It matches the Rfam family "tRNA". Rfam says of the family: Transfer RNA (tRNA) molecules are approximately 80 nucleotides in length. Their secondary structure includes four short double-helical elements and three loops (D, anti-codon, and T loops). RNAcentral also lists the same sequence under 1 other name. Lineage: Eukaryota; Metazoa; Chordata; Mammalia; Carnivora; Canidae. The record is from Rfam by way of RNAcentral.
GCCUGGGUGGCUCAGUGGUUGAGCACCUGCCUUCGGCUCAGGUCGUGAUCCUGGGGUCCUGGGAUCGAGUCCCGCAUCAGGCU